GACGAACGCUGGCGGCGUGCUUAACACAUGCAAGUCGAACGGAAAGGCCCUGCUUUUGUGGGGUGCUCGAGUGGCGAACGGGUGAGUAACACGUGAGUAACCUGCCCUUGACUUUGGGAUAACUUCAGGAAACUGGGGCUAAUACCGGAUAGGAGCUCCUGCUGCAUGGUGGGGGUUGGAAAGUUUCGGCGGUUGGGGAUGGACUCGCGGCUUAUCAGCUUGUUGGUGGGGUAGUGGCUUACCAAGGCUUUGACGGGUAGCCGGCCUGAGAGGGUGACCGGCCACAUUGGGACUGAGAUACGGCCCAGACUCCUACGGGAGGCAGCAGUGGGGAAUAUUGCACAAUGGGCGGAAGCCUGAUGCAGCAACGCCGCGUGCGGGGUGACGGCCUUCGGGUUGUAAACCGCUUUCGCCUGUGACGAAGCGUGAGUGACGGUAAUGGGUAAAGAAGCACCGGCUAACUACGUGCCAGCAGCCGCGGUGAUACGUAGGGUGCGAGCGUUGUCCGGAUUUAUUGGGCGUAAAGGGCUCGUAGGUGGUUGAUCGCGUCGGAAGUGUAAUCUUGGGGCUUAACCCUGAGCGUGCUUUCGAUACGGGUUGACUUGAGGAAGGUAGGGGAGAAUGGAAUUCCUGGUGGAGCGGUGGAAUGCGCAGAUAUCAGGAGGAACACCAGUGGCGAAGGCGGUUCUCUGGGCCUUUCCUGACGCUGAGGAGCGAAAGCGUGGGGAGCGAACAGGCUUAGAUACCCUGGUAGUCCACGCUGUAAACGGUGGGUACUAGGUGUGGGGUCCAUUCCACGGGUUCCGUGCCGUAGCUAACGCUUUAAGUACCCCGCCUGGGGAGUACGGCCGCAAGGCUAAAACUCAAAGGAAUUGACGGGGCCCCGCACAAGCGGCGGAGCAUGCGGAUUAAUUCGAUGCAACGCGUAGAACCUUACCUGGGUUUGACAUGGAUCGGGAGCGCUCAGAGAUGGGUGUGCCUCUUUUGGGGUCGGUUCACAGGUGGUGCAUGGCUGUCGUCAGCUCGUGUCGUGAGAUGUUGGGUUAAGUCCCGCAGCGAGCGCAACCCUUGUUCACUGUUGCCAGCACGUUAUGGUGGGGACUCAGUGGAGACCGCCGGGGUCAACUCGGAGGAAGGUGGGGAUGACGUCAAGUCAUCAUGCCCCUUAUGUCCAGGGCUUCACGCAUGCUACAAUGGCUGGUACAGAGAGUGGCGAGCCUGUGAGGGUGAGCGAAUCUCGGAAAGCCGGUCUCAGUUCGGAUUGGGGUCUGCAACUCGACCUCAUGAAGACGGAGUCGCUAGUAAUCGCAGAUCAGCAACGCUGCGGUGAAUACGUUCCCGGGGCU
This 1346-nucleotide ribosomal RNA is filed under the name uncultured bacterium. RNAcentral's name for it is "bacterial SSU rRNA". It matches the Rfam family "Bacterial small subunit ribosomal RNA", at positions 28 to 1381 of the family's 1533-position model. The record is from RNAcentral.